This 87-nucleotide transfer RNA is filed under the name bacterium. RNAcentral's name for it is "tRNA-Leu". It matches the Rfam family "tRNA". From Rfam's summary of the family: Transfer RNA (tRNA) molecules are approximately 80 nucleotides in length. Their secondary structure includes four short double-helical elements and three loops (D, anti-codon, and T loops). The record is from RNAcentral.
GCCGCGGUGGCGGAAUUGGUAUACGCACCAGCCUUAGGAGCUGGCGGUUGCAAAACCAUGAGAGUUCGAGUCUCUCCCACGGCACCA